AUUGAACGCUGGCGGCAGGCCUAACACAUGCAAGUCGAGCGGAUGAAGGGAGCUUGCUCCUGGAUUCAGCGGCGGACGGGUGAGUAAUGCCUAGGAAUCUGCCUGGUGGGGGGGGUUAACUUCCGGAAAGGGGCGCUAAUACCGCAUCCGUCCUGAGGGGGAAAGUGGGGGACCUUGGGACCUCACGCUACCAGUUGACCCUAGGUCGGAUUAGCUAGUUGGUGGGGUAAAGGCCUACCAAGGCGACGAUCCGUAACUGGUCUGAGAGGAUGAUCAGUCACACUGGAACUGAGACACGGUCCAGACUCCUACGGGAGGCAGCAGUGGGGAAUAUUGGACAAUGGGCGAAAGCCUGAUCCAGCCAUGCCGCGUGUGUGAAGAAGGUCUUCGGAUUGUAAAGCACUUUAAGUUGGGAGGAAGGGCAGUAAGUUAAUACCUUGCUGUUUUGACGUUACCAACAGAAUAAGCACCGGCUAACUUCGUG
This 484-nucleotide ribosomal RNA is filed under the name uncultured bacterium. Its description in RNAcentral is "partial 16S ribosomal RNA". It matches the Rfam family "Bacterial small subunit ribosomal RNA", at positions 30 to 507 of the family's 1533-position model. The record is from RNAcentral.